ACUGAGUGGCGGUGUGAUCA
RNAcentral lists this unclassified non-coding RNA (20 nucleotides) under Chlamydomonas reinhardtii. RNAcentral describes it as "small RNA Cre_0380". The record is from RNAcentral. Lineage: Eukaryota; Viridiplantae; Chlorophyta; Chlorophyceae; Chlamydomonadales; Chlamydomonadaceae.